UGCUUUACCAUGCAGUCGAACGGUAACAGGUCUUCGGAUGCUGACGAGUGGCGAACGGGUGAGUAACACAUCGGAACGUGCCUAGUAGUGGGGGAUAACUACUCGAAAGAGUAGCUAAUACCGCAUGAGAUCUAAGGAUGAAAGCAGGGGACCUUCGGGCCUUGCGCUACUAGAGCGGCUGAUGGCAGAUUAGGUAGUUGGUGGGAUAAAAGCUUACCAAGCCGACGAUCUGUAGCUGGUCUGAGAGGACGACCAGCCACACUGGGACUGAGACACGGCCCAGACUCCUACGGGAGGCAGCAGUGGGGAAUUUUGGACAAUGGGCGAAAGCCUGAUCCAGCAAUGCCGCGUGUAGGAUGAAGGCCCUCGGGUUGUAAACUACUUUUGUACGGAACGAAAAGACUCUCUCUAAUAAAGAGGGUCCAUGACGGUACCGUAAGAAUAAGCACCGGCUAACUACGUGCCAGCAGCCGCGGUAAUACGUAGGGUGCAAGCGUUAAUCGGAAUUACUGGGCGUAAAGCGUGCGCAGGCGGUUAUGUAAGACAGAGGUGAAAUCCCCGGGCUCAACCUGGGAACGGCCUUUGUGACUGCAUAGCUAGAGUACGGUAGAGGGGGAUGGAAUUCCGCGUGUAGC
Molecule: ribosomal RNA, 635 nt
Filed under: Comamonas sp. MYb106
Lineage: Bacteria; Pseudomonadati; Pseudomonadota; Betaproteobacteria; Burkholderiales; Comamonadaceae
Description: bacterial SSU rRNA
Rfam family: Bacterial small subunit ribosomal RNA
Source: RNAcentral